Molecule: long non-coding RNA, 361 nt
Filed under: Fukomys damarensis (Damara mole-rat)
Lineage: Eukaryota; Metazoa; Chordata; Mammalia; Rodentia; Bathyergidae
Description: lncRNA (ENSFDAG00000024127.1)
Source: RNAcentral
CCUAAGUGAAUAAUUUGUUAUAGAUCCUUUAUGUUCCUAAAUACAUGAGUGAGCUGUAAUUCUUAACUUUUCUGAAAAACUAAACUAAAAGAGUAAGAAAUAAUUUAAACCAUUUUAGCAAAAAUGCACACACAAGAAAACAAAAGCAUGCUUCCAGAAUCUGGGCUUUUACGUCGGUUGGUAAUAUAUGUGUAUGUGUCUUUGUUUUUCUUACAGAGCCUUCAUAGGAGAGGCAUGUUGGAGCUGCCACGUUUCCUGAGCAUCUCUGUUGAACACUUUCUGUCUCUGAGGUAAGAAGAUUCCAGUCUCCAUCAAAAGAGUAAGGAAUUCUCAUUUAUGACAAAGAACUCUUCCCCGCAGC